Molecule: ribosomal RNA, 377 nt
Filed under: uncultured bacterium
Lineage: Bacteria
Description: bacterial SSU rRNA
Rfam family: Bacterial small subunit ribosomal RNA
Source: RNAcentral
GACGAACGCUGGCGGCGUGCUUAACACAUGCAAGUCGAGCGGUAAGGCCCUUUCGGGGGUACACGAGCGGCGAACGGGUGAGUAACACGUGGGUGACCUGCCCUCAGCUCUGGGAUAAGCCUGGGAAACUGGGUCUAUACUGGAUAUGACUCCACGGUGCAUGUCGUGGGGUGGAAAGCCUUGUGCGGCUGAGGAUGGGCCCGCGGCCUAUCAGCUUGUUGGUGGGGUGAUGGCCUACCAAGGCGACGACGGGUAGCCGGCCUGAGAGGGCGACCGGCCACACUGGGACUGAGACACGGCCCAGACUCCUACGGGAGGCAGCAGUGGGGAAUCUUGCGCAAUGGGCGAAAGCCUGACGCAGCGACGCCGCGUGAGGG